GACGAACGCUGGCGGCGCGCUUAACACAUGCAAGUCGAACGGAAAGGCCUGCUUUCCCUUGUGGAUUGCGGGUACUCGAGUGGCGAACGGGUGAGUAACACGUGAGUGAUCUGCCCCCAACUUGGGUAUAAGCCUGGGAAACUGGGUCUAAUUCCCGAUAGGACUGCAGGGUGGUGCCUGUGGUGGAAAACGAUUUUCUAGUGGUUGGGGAUGAGCUCGCGGCCUAUCAGCUUGUUGGUGGGGUAAUGGCCUACCAAGGCGGCGGCGGGUAGCCGGCCUGAGAGGGUGGACGGCCACAUUGGGACUGAGAUACGGCCCAGACUCCUACGGGAGGCAGCAGUGGGGAAUAUUGCACAAUGGGCGGAAGCCUGAUGCAGCGACGCCGCGGGGGGGAUGACGGCCUUCGGGUUGUAAACUCCUUUCGACCGCGAGGAAGCCACCUGGUUGGAAGGGUGGUGACGGUAGUGGUAGAAGAAGCACCGGCUAACUACGUG
RNAcentral lists this ribosomal RNA (494 nucleotides) under uncultured bacterium. RNAcentral's name for it is "partial 16S ribosomal RNA". It matches the Rfam family "Bacterial small subunit ribosomal RNA", at positions 28 to 507 of the family's 1533-position model. The record is from RNAcentral.